ACUAUCCGAUCUUGCUUCUUCCCCUUGCAGCCUCCAUCAGUCCUCUCUUCUCUAAUUCUUGUUCUUCAAUGAUUCCUCUGUUACCUUUAAAACCAACCUCCACAUCACCUCCUUUGAUGACUAAUUCCAUCCUUGACUUCCUUUAUUUCCAUACCAACCUCUCUCUCUUUGCCAGACACCAUAUCCUUGCUUCCAAUAUUCCCUCAAACCUCCUUGCCAAGAUUUCCAUCUUCUAGUUUCAUUCCCUCAACCUAGAUGAUGGCACAUAUUGCUGCUUUUAUUAUCUUGGCUCCUUAUGAAUUUAUUAAAUUUUAUAUGAGAUAAUGGAAGAAAAGGAGUUUUUUUAUGAAUGAGGUGUGCACCAGCAUCUAGAUUGAGGUUUUUGUGCUAUUCCAAGUUUCCAACAAAUCUUUUCACAUAUAUAUCAGAUUGUUCUGCUUUAAUUGUUUGUAUUGUAUGAUAUCCAAGAUUUUUGACGUAUCAAAAAAAAAAAACCAAUUUUCUUUAUAGACAAGAGGAGAGAUAGUUCGUUUGAUACUAAGGAAGUCCAAGAAUUGAAGUUUUAGCCAUUAGGGAGAAUAGUUAAUUUUUUCAUAUAUUUUUAUGCGAUCAACCAAAGAUCAAAUACAAUAGAAAACCAUGAUCUAUUUUUUCUUUGGUACUCUGCUGCAAUAUAACUCCAUACCAAAGUUGUUCAAUUCCAUGGCAAGACCAACCUAUGUAUCCAAAUAAGCCCUAAUUAGACAUAUAUCCCAAUCUAUUGUAGUAUCUAAUAUACAUAUGCUAUAGCAUCAUCCAUUUUUGAGCAUAAAAUGCAUCACUCAUAAUGAGGACAUAAGUGGUUGAUGAUGAUAUGGACUCUGAAUUCCUAUCCCUUCAGGCAUGGUUUAUGAAACCGUCCCAAAUCAGGCGGUUCAAGGCAUUUCAAGCCGUACCAGCCGUAAAACAGGACAGUUCGGCCUUUCAAAUCCGAACACUAGAUGAGAGAGAGGAAAGAGAGAGAGAAGGGGAGAGAAAGAGGGGACGAUGCUGUCGGAGGACAAGUGGUGGCCCAUUGAGACCGUCGGAGGGCCGCGGAGGUCUCCACGGCUCUGUGUUGUCCGAUAGGGUAUUUAAUAUAGAGAGAUAGAGAGAAAGACGGAGCGAGGGUACUGCAGGGAGGCGCAGCCAAUAGAGAGGCUGUUGGAGGUCGUUGGGUGGCCAUCGGGUAGCGGAAAAGAUGCGAACAGAGCUGCAGCCAUGGAACGGAA
RNAcentral lists this long non-coding RNA (1250 nucleotides) under Elaeis guineensis (African oil palm). RNAcentral's name for it is "long non-coding RNA (EGUI_LNC030939)". The record is from RNAcentral. Lineage: Eukaryota; Viridiplantae; Streptophyta; Magnoliopsida; Arecales; Arecaceae.